This 72-nucleotide transfer RNA is filed under the name Dryococelus australis. RNAcentral's name for it is "tRNA-OTHER". It matches the Rfam family "tRNA". Rfam says of the family: Transfer RNA (tRNA) molecules are approximately 80 nucleotides in length. Their secondary structure includes four short double-helical elements and three loops (D, anti-codon, and T loops). Further hydrogen bonds mediate the characteristic L-shaped molecular structure. tRNAs have two regions of fundamental functional importance: the anti-codon, which is responsible for specific mRNA codon recognition, and the 3' end, to which the tRNAs corresponding amino acid is attached (by aminoacyl-tRNA synthetases). tRNAs cope with the degeneracy of the genetic code in two manners: having more than one tRNA (with a specific anti-codon) for a particular amino acid; and 'wobble' base-pairing, i.e. permitting non-standard base-pairing at the 3rd anti-codon position. Lineage: Eukaryota; Metazoa; Arthropoda; Insecta; Phasmatodea; Phasmatidae. The record is from RNAcentral.
GGGGGUGUAGCUCAGUGGUAGACCAUUCGACUGCAGAUCGAGAGGUCCCUGGUACAAUCCCGGGCACCCCCU